UGGAGGGCAAGUCUGGUGCCAGCAGCCGCGGUAAUUCCAGCUCCAAUAGCGUAUAUUAAAGUUGUUGCAGUUAAAAGCUCGUAGUUGAAUUUCGAGAUCAGUACGCUGGUCGUGCCUUCGGUAUGCACUGGUGUCACUGGUUUCUCCCUUCUGAAGAACCGUCAUGUCAUUAAGUUGGUGUGGCGGGGAAUCAGGACUGUUACUUUGAAAAAAUUAGAGUGUUUAAAGCAGGCUCGCGCUUGAAUACAUUAGCAUGGAAUAAUGAAAUAGGACGUUUGACCCUAUUUUGUUGGUUUCUAGGAUCGACGUAAUGAUUAAUAGGGAUAGUUGGGGGCAUUAGUAUUCAAUUGUCAGAGGUGAAAUUCUUGGAUUUAUUGAAGACUAACUACUGCGAAAGCAUUUGCCAAGGAUGUUUUCAUUAAUCAAGAACGAAAGUUAGGGGAUCGAAGACGAUCAGAUACCGUCGUAGUCUUAACCAUAAACUAUGCCGACUAGGGAUCGGAUGAUGUUAAUUUUUUAAUGACUCAUUCGGCGCCUUACGGGAAAC
This 547-nucleotide ribosomal RNA is filed under the name uncultured Glomeromycotina. Its description in RNAcentral is "SSU rRNA". It matches the Rfam family "Eukaryotic small subunit ribosomal RNA", at positions 549 to 1098 of the family's 1831-position model. The record is from RNAcentral. Lineage: Eukaryota; Fungi; Glomeromycota.